GGGACCCCGUGAUGUCCAGCACUGGGCUCUGAACUUCUGUGAAGACGUGGUGCUCCCCCGGGACCUUUGACACCCCGGGGGUCUGAGGGGCCC
RNAcentral lists this small nucleolar RNA (93 nucleotides) under Catagonus wagneri (Chacoan peccary). The record is from RNAcentral. Lineage: Eukaryota; Metazoa; Chordata; Mammalia; Artiodactyla; Tayassuidae.